Molecule: ribosomal RNA, 275 nt
Filed under: uncultured Methanomethylovorans sp.
Lineage: Archaea; Methanobacteriati; Methanobacteriota; Methanomicrobia; Methanosarcinales; Methanosarcinaceae
Description: partial 16S ribosomal RNA
Rfam family: Archaeal small subunit ribosomal RNA
Source: RNAcentral
UCGAUUAGAUACCCCCGUAGUCCCAGCUGUAAACUAUGCUCGCUAGGUGUCAGGGACGGUGCGACCGUUUCUGGUGCCGCAGGGAAGCCGUGAAGCGAGCCACCUGGGAAGUACGGUCGCAAGGCUGAAACUUAAAGGAAUUGGCGGGGGAGCACUACAACGGGUGGAGCCUGCGGUUUAAUUGGACUCAACGCCGGAAAACUCACCGGGGGCGACAGCAAUAUGUAGGUCAAGCUAAAGACUUUACCAGAAUCGCUGAGAGGUGGUGCAUGGCA